GCUGAGGAUACAGCUCAGUUGGUAGAGUGCUUGCCUUGCAUGCACAAGGCCCUGUGUUCAAUCCCCAGCACCACAGGA
RNAcentral lists this transfer RNA (78 nucleotides) under Marmota monax (woodchuck). Its description in RNAcentral is "tRNA.Ala". The record is from RNAcentral. Lineage: Eukaryota; Metazoa; Chordata; Mammalia; Rodentia; Sciuridae.